UACGGAGGAUGCGAGCGUUAUCCGGAAUUACUGGGUGUAAAGGGAGCGUAGGCGGGAUGGCAAGUUGGGUGUUAAAUCUACCGGCUCAACUGGUAGUCGCACUCAAAACUGCUAUUCUUGAGUGAAGUAGAGGCAGGCGGAAUUCCUAGUGUAGCGGUGAAAUGCGUAGAUAUUAGGAGGAACACCAGUGGCGAAGGCGGCCUGCUGGACGGUGACUGACGCUGAGGCUCGAAAGCGUGGGGAGCAAACAGG
This 252-nucleotide ribosomal RNA is filed under the name uncultured Ruminococcus sp. Its description in RNAcentral is "partial 16S ribosomal RNA". It matches the Rfam family "Bacterial small subunit ribosomal RNA", at positions 524 to 776 of the family's 1533-position model. Lineage: Bacteria; Bacillati; Bacillota; Clostridia; Eubacteriales; Oscillospiraceae. The record is from RNAcentral.